AGUGAACGCUGGCGGUAGGCCUAACACAUGCAAGUCGAACGGCAGCACAGUAAGAGCUUGCUCUUACGGGUGGCGAGUGGCGGACGGGUGAGGAAUACAUCGGAAUCUACUUUUUCGUGGGGGAUAACGUAGGGAAACUUACGCUAAUACCGCAUACGACCUACGGGUGAAAGCAGGGGAUCUUCGGACCUUGCGCGAUUGAAUGAGCCGAUGUCGGAUUAGCUAGUUGGCGGGGUAAAGGCCCACCAAGGCGCCGAUCCGUAGCUGGUCUGAGAGGAUGGUCAGCCACACUGGAACUGAGACACGGUCCAGACUCCUACGGGAGGCAGCAGUGGGGAAUAUUGGACAAUGGGCGCAAGCCUGAUCCAGCCAUACCGCGUGGGUGAAGAAGGCCUUCGGGUUGUAAAGCCCUUUUGUUGGGAAAGAAAAGCAGCAGGUUAAUACCCCGCUGUUCUGACGGUACCCAAAGAAUAAGCACCGGCUAACUUCGUG
Molecule: ribosomal RNA, 492 nt
Filed under: uncultured bacterium
Lineage: Bacteria
Description: partial 16S ribosomal RNA
Rfam family: Bacterial small subunit ribosomal RNA
Source: RNAcentral